This 460-nucleotide ribosomal RNA is filed under the name uncultured archaeon. RNAcentral's name for it is "bacterial SSU rRNA". It matches the Rfam family "Archaeal small subunit ribosomal RNA", at positions 385 to 845 of the family's 1478-position model. The record is from RNAcentral.
UGCCACUCUUAACGGGGUGGCUUUUCAGAAGUGUAAAAAGCCUCUGGAAUAAGGGCUGGGCAAGACCGGUGCCAGCCGCCGCGGUAACACCGGCAGCUCAAGUGGUAGCCGCUUUUAUUGGGCCUAAAGCGUCCGUAGCCGGUCUGAUAAGUCUCUGGUGAAAUCCCACAGCUUAACUGUGGGAAUUGCUGGAGAUACUAUCAUGACUCGAGGUCGGGAGAGGCUGGAGGUACUCCCAGGGUAGGGGUGAAAUCCUGUAAUCCUGGGAGGACCACCUGUGGCGAAGGCGUCCAGCUGGAACGAACCUGACGGUGAGGGACGAAAGCCAGGGGCGCGAACCGGAUUAGAUACCCGGGUAGUCCUGGCCGUAAACGAUGUGGACUUGGUGUUGAGAUGGCUUCGAGCUGCCCCAGUGCCGAAGGGAAGCUGUUAAGUCCACCGCCUGGGAAGUACGGCCGCA